This 480-nucleotide ribosomal RNA is filed under the name uncultured bacterium. RNAcentral describes it as "bacterial SSU rRNA". It matches the Rfam family "Bacterial small subunit ribosomal RNA", at positions 20 to 518 of the family's 1533-position model. The record is from RNAcentral.
UGGCUCAGGACGAACGCUGGCGGCGUGCCUAACACACGCAAGUCGAGCGAGGAGAUCCUCGGGAUGAUCCUAGCGGCGGACGGGUGAGUAACACGUGGGCAACCUGCCUCAUAGAGAGGAAUAGCCUUCCGAAAGGGAGAUUAAUACCUCAUAACAUUGCAGUUUCGCAUGGAACAGCAAUUAAAGGAGCAAUCCGCUAUGAGAUGGGCCCGCGGCGCAUUAGCUAGUUGGUGAGGUAACGGCUCACCAAGGCGACGAUGCGUAGCCGACCUGAGAGGGUGAUCGGCCACAUUGGGACUGAGACACGGCCCAGACUCCUACGGGAGGCAGCAGUGGGGAAUAUUGCACAAUGGGGGAAACCCUGAUGCAAGCAACGCCGCGUGAGUGAUGACGGCCUUCGGGUUGUAAAGCUCUGUCUUCAGGGACGAUAAUGACGGUACCUGAGGAGGAAGCCACGGCUAACUACGUGCCAGCCGCAGC